This 1338-nucleotide long non-coding RNA is filed under the name Cricetulus griseus (Chinese hamster). RNAcentral's name for it is "lncRNA (ENSCGRG00015029053.1)". The record is from RNAcentral. Lineage: Eukaryota; Metazoa; Chordata; Mammalia; Rodentia; Cricetidae.
UGUUGUGAAGAAGUUGGACUAUUGGCUUAGUUCUCUCCAGUUCCAGAAAAUGCCUCAGAUGAGUUAUAUUUAGGCAUUCUGGUCUUCAUCUUAAUAAAACAGUUGGCAAACAGCUCCCCGUUGUUGCAAUUAUUUUUAGGAAUUUAGACAAGACUCUAUGUGCAAUCUUCAUCACUCAGGGAUAUGUUUUAAAACAAUUCAUUGCUAUAAAAAGCUUGGCUCUCUUAAGGAAGUGGUACAUUGCUUCCUUUUUAUGUCAGUAAGAUGUAAACAACUGACUACAGAAUCACCUGUGUCAUAAUGUAAACAAACAGCUCGUUCAUUACAUAUGGCUAAAUGAUGCAGUCUAGAUGUGUAGUGGACUAUAGAUAGCAUUUAGGUUUUCGUGAGAACACUUUGAUGUUUAAAUGGCAACGAUACCCAAUGGUGCACUUCUCAGAAUGCUUUGUUUUCAUUGAGUGACUCAUGACUAUUUUCCUCUAUCAUCUGUAUUUUUAUGUCUUGAAACUAUUUAUUCAAAAAUUGUGAAAAUGUUUCUAGGGUAAUAUGAAUCACAAUUAGAUCAGAACUUGGCUCCCAAACUUCAUUUGGAUACAGUUCUUAAGUGGGAGCUGGCUAGUGGUGUCUUCUACAGGUGAAGAGUCAGGACAUGAUCAUUUUGUGGUUAUUUUCAAUUCAGUGUUUGACAUAAAUUUUAAUAAUUGGUCUGUUUUUCUAUAGCUUAUAAAAAAACAAGGUAAAACACAUUACCUGGAAGAUUACUUGAGAUGUUCUCUGCCACCCUUUCAAUAAAGCAAAGGAUCAAGUGGGUGCUCCAUAAACAGCCCACAAACACCUGCAAUCAAUACCUUUCCAAAAUGAAUGUGAGCAAGAGGCUUCUUCUAUGACAACUUCUAUGACAACUUUCAACAGCCCACUCUGACAGGGAAAGUUUCUUCUCUCAAAUUCGAUGAUUUAACAUAAAACACUUCACUACAGCUGCAUUUUGAAACAUUAUGGCCAUGUGGAUAUUGUUUAGCACUAUAAAUAAAAGAUCCAUAAACAGAUAUUGGGGUUCAAGCUUCAAGCUGAAGAUCGGAGAAGCAAAUCAGCCAAGCCACUAGCUCUUCCCUCUACCUCAGCUCAGACCAAAGGGGAGAUCCCCAAACUGCUUAUGACUUCACUGCUCCUCAGAUUCACUCAGACUGUUAUGCUCUCCUCAACGUGGCUGGAGAUUAAUUCUCAGACUGAAUGCUAGCUCUGAGACCCUGCUCCUGACUUAUAUACCUCCCUAAUGCUGGGAUUAAAGGCAAAUGAUCCCAGGUGCUGAGAUCACCUUUGUGUGAGCUGUUUUUUUUU